GGCUCCAUAGUGUAGUGGUUAGCACAUCUGCUUUACAUGCAGAAGGUGGACCCU
RNAcentral lists this transfer RNA (54 nucleotides) under Pteropus alecto (black flying fox). It matches the Rfam family "tRNA". From Rfam's summary of the family: Transfer RNA (tRNA) molecules are approximately 80 nucleotides in length. Their secondary structure includes four short double-helical elements and three loops (D, anti-codon, and T loops). Further hydrogen bonds mediate the characteristic L-shaped molecular structure. tRNAs have two regions of fundamental functional importance: the anti-codon, which is responsible for specific mRNA codon recognition, and the 3' end, to which the tRNAs corresponding amino acid is attached (by aminoacyl-tRNA synthetases). tRNAs cope with the degeneracy of the genetic code in two manners: having more than one tRNA (with a specific anti-codon) for a particular amino acid; and 'wobble' base-pairing, i.e. permitting non-standard base-pairing at the 3rd anti-codon position. The record is from Rfam by way of RNAcentral. Lineage: Eukaryota; Metazoa; Chordata; Mammalia; Chiroptera; Pteropodidae.